RNAcentral lists this ribosomal RNA (243 nucleotides) under uncultured bacterium. RNAcentral's name for it is "partial 16S ribosomal RNA". It matches the Rfam family "Bacterial small subunit ribosomal RNA", at positions 88 to 334 of the family's 1533-position model. The record is from RNAcentral.
CUGACGAGUGGCGAACGGGUGAGUAAUGCAUCGGAACGUACCCAGUCGUGGGGGAUAACGUAGCGAAAGUUACGCUAAUACCGCAUACGUCCUGAGGGAGAAAGCGGGGGACCGUAAGGCCUCGCGCGAUUGGAGCGGCCGAUGUCGGAUUAGCUAGUUGGUAGGGUAAAGGCCUACCAAGGCGACGAUCCGUAGCGGGUCUGAGAGGAUGAUCCGCCACACUGGGACUGAGACACGGCCCAG